UGCGAUUUAGCCAAGCGGUAAGGCAACGGACUUUGACUCCGUUAUCACUAGUUCGACCCUAGUAAUCGCAA
This 71-nucleotide transfer RNA is filed under the name Bacteriophage sp. RNAcentral's name for it is "tRNA-Gln". It matches the Rfam family "tRNA". From Rfam's summary of the family: Transfer RNA (tRNA) molecules are approximately 80 nucleotides in length. Their secondary structure includes four short double-helical elements and three loops (D, anti-codon, and T loops). The record is from RNAcentral.